UACGUAGGGGGCUAGCGUUGUCCGGAAUCAUUGGGCGUAAAGAGCGUGUAGGCGGUCCGGUAAGUCUGCUGUGAAAGUCCGGGGCUCAACUCCGGAUCUGCGGUGGGUACGGGCAGACUAGAGUGAUGUAGGGGAGACUGGAAUUCCUGGUGUAGCGGUGAAAUGCGCAGAUAUCAGGAGGAACACCGAUGGCGAAGGCAGGUCUCUGGGCCGAUACUGACGCUGAGGAGCGAAAGCGUGGGGAGCGAACAGG
RNAcentral lists this ribosomal RNA (253 nucleotides) under uncultured bacterium. RNAcentral describes it as "partial 16S ribosomal RNA". It matches the Rfam family "Bacterial small subunit ribosomal RNA", at positions 524 to 776 of the family's 1533-position model. The record is from RNAcentral.